This 397-nucleotide ribosomal RNA is filed under the name uncultured bacterium. RNAcentral describes it as "bacterial SSU rRNA". It matches the Rfam family "Bacterial small subunit ribosomal RNA", at positions 30 to 429 of the family's 1533-position model. The record is from RNAcentral.
AUUGAACGCUGGCGGCAUGCCUUACACAUGCAAGUCGAACGGCAGCACGGGAGCAAUCCUGGUGGCGAGUGGCGAACGGGUGAGUAAUAUAUCGGAACGUGCCCAGUCGUGGGGAUGACGUAGCGAAAGCUACGCUAAUACCGCAUACGAUCUAUGGAUGAAAGCGGGGGAUCGCAAGACCUCGCGCGAUUGGAGCGGCCGAUAUCAGAUUAGGUAGUUGGUGAGGUAAGGGCUCACCAAGCCGACGAUCUGUAGCUGGUCUGAGAGGACGACCAGCCACACUGGGACUGAGACACGGCCCAGACUCCUACGGGAGGCAGCAGUGGGGAAUUUUUGGACAAUGGGCGCAAGCCUGAUCCAGCAAUGCCGCGUGCAGGAUGAAGGCCUCGGUUGUAAC